This 431-nucleotide ribosomal RNA is filed under the name uncultured bacterium. Its description in RNAcentral is "partial 16S ribosomal RNA". It matches the Rfam family "Bacterial small subunit ribosomal RNA", at positions 29 to 505 of the family's 1533-position model. The record is from RNAcentral.
AACGAACGCUGGCGGCAUGCCUAACACAUGCAAGUCGAACGACACCUUCGGGUCUAGUGGCGCACGGGUGCGUAACGCGUGGGAACCUGCCCUUAGGUUCGGAAUAACUCCCCGACAGGGGUGCUAAUACCGGAUAAUGUCUUCGGACCCAAGAUUUUUCGCUUUUGGAUGGGCACGCGUUGGAUUAACUAGUUGGUAAGGUAAAAGCCUACCAAGGCGACGAUCCAUAGCGGGUCUGAGAGGACGAUCAGCCACACUGGGACGGAGACACGGCCCAGUCUCCUACGGGAGGCGGCAGUGGGGAAUAUUGGACCAUGGGCGAUAGCCUGAUCCAUCAGUGCCGCGUGAGUGAUGAUGGCCUUAGGGUUGUAAAGCUCUUUUACCCGGGUUGAUAGUGACAGUACCGGGAGAAUGCGCUCCGGCUCACUCCG